GACGAACGCUGGCGGCGUGCUUAACACAUGCAAGUCGAACGAUGAAGCCGGAGCUUGCUCUGGUGAAUUAGUGGCGAACGGGUGAGUAACACGUGAGUAACCUGCCCUUGACUCUGGGAUAACUGCGGGAAACUGUGGCUAAUACCGGAUACGACCCUCGGAGGCAUCUCCUGGGGUUGGAAAGAAUUUCGGUCAAGGAUGGACUCGCGGCCUAUCAGCUAGUUGGUGAGGUAAAGGCCCACCAAGGCGACGACGGGUAGCCGGCCUGAGAGGUUGACCGGCCACACUGGAACUGAGACACGGCCCAGACUCCUACGGGAGGCAGCAGUGGGGAAUAUUGCACAAUGGGCGCAAGCCUGGUGCAGCAACGCCGCGUGAGGGAUGACGGCCUACGGGUUGUAAACCUCUUUUAGCAGGGAAGAAGCGAAAGUGACGGUACCUGCAGAAAAAGCACCGGCUAACUACGUGCCAGCCGCCGCCGUAA
Molecule: ribosomal RNA, 484 nt
Filed under: uncultured bacterium
Lineage: Bacteria
Description: partial 16S ribosomal RNA
Rfam family: Bacterial small subunit ribosomal RNA
Source: RNAcentral